Non-coding RNA from Malus domestica (apple), 672 nucleotides. Lineage: Eukaryota; Viridiplantae; Streptophyta; Magnoliopsida; Rosales; Rosaceae. The record is from RefSeq and is a predicted model, not a curated record.
CCUUCUUUAUAUUUUCAGCCAUACUGGCAGCCACAUAACAGAACAGUUGCAAGAAGAAUUCAAAACAUGGGGUGGAGAGCUGAUGGUGGUCUUUGGCUCCUUGUUCGCGGAGGGGACUUUAUCUAAGCAAAGGUACCGGGUUAACUGAGGAUUUUGAAGAAGUUCCAGUCCAAAGCCGGGGGUUUGCCAUUCUUGAUGUUGGGUACCGAUCAAAGGAUGAGGCUUGGGCAGCAGGGGGAAGUGGGAUUUUACUGCAAACUAACAAUGGUGGUAAGACAUGGACCCGUGACAAAGCAGCAGAUAAUAUUGCAGCCAAUCUAUACUCCGUGAAGUUUAUUGAUGACAAUAAAGGAUUUGUGCUGGGGAAUGAUGGGGUCUUGCUUCGGUAUCUUGGAUAAGGGUUUAAUCUACACAUCUCUUGGGCAUUCUUAAAAUAUGUUAUCUCGUCGUUUAGAGUCGUUUUAUUGACAUGUGCAUUUAUGCAGGUCAAUUUUGUAGUGGUGAUGUAACACAUAUAUGAUCGAUCACGUAUCCAAAGCUGCCAAGAGGGGUCAAUGCCUCAUUCAUUUGAUAUUGUAAUUUUUCUGUAAAUUAUUACCAUCCACGGACAGAUCUUGGCAAUAUUUUUACACCUUCAUAGUAAGAGAAUUUGUAUAAGCCGUUUCAAAGCCA